CUGAGAUGAGUCUUCCCUGGCACUUUAAGUGUCCUAAAGGGUUGUUCGAGACUAGAACGUUGAUAGGUUGGGUGUGUAAGCGCUGCGAGGCGUUGAGCUAACCAAUACUAAUUGCCCGUGAGGCUUAACCAUACAACACCGAAGGGGUUUUGU
This 153-nucleotide ribosomal RNA is filed under the name Vibrio sp. V09_P4A23P171. Its description in RNAcentral is "partial 23S ribosomal RNA". The stretch from base 1 to 132 matches the Rfam family "Bacterial large subunit ribosomal RNA", at positions 2799 to 2925 of the family's 2925-position model. The record is from RNAcentral. Lineage: Bacteria; Pseudomonadati; Pseudomonadota; Gammaproteobacteria; Vibrionales; Vibrionaceae.